Long non-coding RNA from Saccostrea echinata, 561 nucleotides. RefSeq lists it as uncharacterized. The record is from RefSeq and is a predicted model, not a curated record. The transcript is spliced from 4 exons. NCBI's taxonomy places the organism in Eukaryota, Metazoa, Mollusca, Bivalvia, Ostreida, Ostreidae.
GCAUCAACUCCAAGUGGUCAAGGGCAAUUGAUGCUGGAGAAGUGGCAAUCUGUCUGCAAUCAUGUGUAAAACAUUCAUGAACAUGAUGGAGAUAUUUUUCAGUCUUGUUACCAUGGACCCCUAGAGGGACGCGAAAGAGAAAAGAAAUGGUUGAAAAAAGGCAACAAAACAUGCGUUAAAUUAGAGUAGCUUGUGAUGUCAAAACAAAUGCAGAAAGACAUUCCGAAACUUUCUCCAGGAGCCCAAACUGCAAGGUUGGAAGGAUUUCAUUCUGUCAUUAAUCAUUUUGCUCCAAAGAUGUUUGGGUUUUCCUACCAUUGAAUGUUAAGCAGAUUAAAACUUGCUGCCCUCUAUUACAAUGAAAAUGGGAUGAGAGAUCAAGCAGUAACAAAAGAUGGACAACCACAGUACAAUAUUGUGUACCCAAAGUUCAAGGGUGGAUACACAAUACGAGAAGUGAAAACUGGUUGUACAUAUUAUUAUGUCAGUAAGAUCAUGGACGUUGUAUAUAAAAAUGCCAAAGAAACAAAAUUAAGUCAGGCAGAAGUGUACAGAGUUGCA